RNAcentral lists this long non-coding RNA (1325 nucleotides) under Homo sapiens (human). RNAcentral's name for it is "non-protein coding lnc-BIN3-7:1". The record is from RNAcentral. Lineage: Eukaryota; Metazoa; Chordata; Mammalia; Primates; Hominidae.
AGUAGAGCUCGGCGCACGCGCUGCUCUCGGCUCCUCCGGCUCCGGGUCCCUGCUGCUAACCGCCCAUUUUCGCUUCUUCUCAGCCAGCCCUCCCCGCAGCCGGCCCCUUCUCUCCUGCCAGCCCCUACCCGGGCCCGGAACAUCUGAAACCCGCCCGCGUGGCCCGCGCGACCCGCGCGGGAGGCCGGCCCGGCCAUCUUGCGACCCGGCCCUGCGGCCUCGCAGCGGCUCCGCGCCGCCUCCUGGGACCGCCUCGCCGAGAACCCCUGGCCUCCCAGUCCUCGCCCACAGGCGACCACCCUCCUCACCUCUGGGUCUCCCACCCGCUUUGUCUCAAGGAGUGUGAUCAGUCCGGCCGCGCUCCUUCAGUUUUUGUGGGUCAUUCAACAAACGCACACAUUUAAACCCCCUCGCUUCAUCUUUCCCGCUUGUUGAGUGCAGUUAGUACAAUGAGAAGGACAUUCGUGUCCAUCCUAGUUCCAGUCCAGUAGCUAGGGCGGUGGGGGAUUGGGGGAGCUCCGUUUCUGAGCAAGGCUCUGCUCCCUCCUCACUUUCCACAUCGAAGAGAAGGGAGAUCUCUGCUCCUGGGACCCCCGGGCCGGACCUCCUCGGCCACAAGAACUGACCUCUUCCUAUGCCCUGUGUGUCACCUGCCCAGCUAGAAGCCCCUUUUUUCUUCCCCCUGACACAGUACCUGCCUCCCCGGCCCAGGCUCACUGUGGAACCCCAUGGGCAAGUCCGUAGAAACUUAACAGUCUGUUCAUCUCGAGGUUAAAAACUAACCUUUAUCUGUCCUUAAAACUGUAAGCCUAGAACAGAAACUGGCUCCAACUGUCCUCUCACUGAGUAACUGGCAAAGUCAAAAGGAUUUUGACUUUUAGCAAUGCAAAUGAAAUAUUGAAACUGAUGUCCAAUAAAACAUAUGCAAGUUACAGGCAAAACCAGUCUUAACAAUUACCGCAGUGACCGAUAAGUAGUUGUAGCUAUGUAAAUUUAAAUUAAUCCCGUUCCUCUAGGGGACUAGCCACAUUUCAAGUGUUCAAGAGCUACACGCGGCUACCUUAUUGGACAUCCAGAAAAUUCUACUGGACAGCUGUUAGGAGGCAAAAGGACUUUAGGAGCCGACUAGAAUUUGGUUUUCGUUUUCAUGAUCCUUGAGUCUUCCACCCAAGAGAAUUGUUCAGAUAUCCUGGGGAAACUCUUCAUUUAAGAAGUAACCAGAACUCCACGCCUAUCAAAUCAUACCCCUGGGUCAGAGGCUAAAAUUCAUCUGGAAGAACCUCAACAGGAUAGCUAAAAAUAAAAAGUUUAAGAAAACAUUGCGG